Molecule: unclassified non-coding RNA, 254 nt
Filed under: Hevea brasiliensis (rubber tree)
Lineage: Eukaryota; Viridiplantae; Streptophyta; Magnoliopsida; Malpighiales; Euphorbiaceae
Source: RNAcentral
UUCCAAACAUUGUACCUCCUCUAUUAGCAUAUUAUCUUCUGUCAAUAUAUCAUUUUCCCGUUUUUGGACCUCAAAAAUACCAACGUUACACAUUUCCAAAACUUGCAAUGAUGAUAAACUGGAUAUGACUCCCCUUGGAAUCAUAUUUAGCUCGAAAUUACCCACCAAGUUCAGAUAUUUCAGAUUUACCAACAUUUUCAACUCAAUUGGCAAUUGCCUUAUCAGUGUCUUUGACAGAUUAAGAUAUUGCAAUG